GAGGGUAGAGCUCAGUUGGUAGAGUGCUUGCUUAGCAUGUGCAAGAUCCUGGGUUCGAUCCCCAGUACCUCCC
This 73-nucleotide transfer RNA is filed under the name Camelus bactrianus (Bactrian camel). It matches the Rfam family "tRNA". Rfam says of the family: Transfer RNA (tRNA) molecules are approximately 80 nucleotides in length. The record is from Rfam by way of RNAcentral. RNAcentral also lists the same sequence under 2 other names. Lineage: Eukaryota; Metazoa; Chordata; Mammalia; Artiodactyla; Camelidae.